Molecule: long non-coding RNA, 288 nt
Filed under: Struthio camelus australis
Lineage: Eukaryota; Metazoa; Chordata; Aves; Struthioniformes; Struthionidae
Description: lncRNA (ENSSCUG00000010137.1)
Source: RNAcentral
GACUACAUCACCACAGGAGAUGGGGACAUCCUAAAAAAACUUCUGGCAGUCUUAACAUCUCUAGCAGUGACCCCAGACCUGUCCUGGCUCCAGACCUUUUAUGGAAUCCCCAGCAUCGUUGUGAAAUAUGUUUCUGCUGUGAUACCUGACAAGUUUUAUGAUCAGAUAACGAGCUGGAUUUAAAAGUGCCUCCUGCGAAAGUGAUUAAAGGAGAAGCAGCUCCAGCUACGCUUGGAAAAGCUAUUUAGCUUGCUUAUUGGGGAAAUGUCUUCCCACCUACUUACUACC